CUACGGGCUGCUCCAGUGGGGAAUAUUGGACAAUGGGCGAAAGCCUGAUCCAGCAAUGCCGCGUGUGUGAUGAAGGCCUUCGGGUUGUAAAGCACUGUCGGGAGGAAAGAAGGUCGGGUAACCGGCUUGACGGUACCUCCAAAGGAAGCACCGGCUAACUCUGUGCCAGCAGCCGCGGUAAUACAGAGGGUGCAAGCGUUGUUCGGAAUCACUGGGCGUAAAGCGCGUGUAGGCGGCGUUGUCAGUCGGAUGUGAAAGCCCUCGGCUCAACCGAGGAAGUGCAUCCGAUACUACAAUGCUUGAGUUCCGGAGGGGGUGGCGGAAUUCCCGGUGUAGAGGUGAAAUUCGUAGAUAUCGGGAGGAACACCUGUGGCGAAGGCGGCCACCUGGACGGCGACUGACGCUGAGACGCGAAAGCGUGGGGAGCAAACAGGAUUAGAUACCCGUGUAGUC
This 453-nucleotide ribosomal RNA is filed under the name uncultured bacterium. RNAcentral's name for it is "partial 16S ribosomal RNA". It matches the Rfam family "Bacterial small subunit ribosomal RNA", at positions 339 to 795 of the family's 1533-position model. The record is from RNAcentral.